CGCCCCUCCUCAGACUUUGGAGGCCAGGCAGGUUUGGAGGCCUUUGAGUCGGGCGUGGCAGCAGCUCACAGGGUCCCGGGAGGGAGUACUGCAAGGCUAAACAGACUCGGAUCCGUCUGUGAUGAUACAAGUCUUGACCAGCUCGAACACUUACACUUGUUACCUGCUUGUUGAUUGGUUCAGGGCAUCCGUCUGCCUCUAAACAAGCCUCACAAUGGAAAAAAUGACCCACAGAAAUAAAUGACCUGCAUAGUGCCACGCAAGGAUCAGCUGGUAGAAUGGCUGAGAUGUGACCCCCGGGCACUGCAGCAUGAAAGGGUUUGGUAUGGUAAAGUAACUGAAUGGUGAACUGUCUGCCCUGGCUCAUCGGUGUAUGGAUAAGACUGAAAAGCCAGGUUGGAGCCCAAUCAUAGGAAGACUUGAAUCCCCUGGCAGAAGAGUCCGGAAGCCACCAAGUAGUGAUGAGCUCUUUUUUUUUUUUUUGGACUGGACGUGGGGCAUAAAGGAAUAGUCAAAGGAAAUAGCUAAAGGAGAGGGUGAUGAAAGAAGAACGCUGAGAACAGAACCUUGGGGGAUUGCUGCAUUUAGGAAGAGCAAUUAGCCAAGGAAACAAAGUAAGACCCCCCCCCCAUAAUACAGUGUCAUAGGAGCCAGAGGAGAUUAACAGGGUCGGUGGCCACAUAACAGUUCAAAAGGCACGAAUGCCAUUUUCCUGCCUCUCUACUUGCUUCACAUACAGUAUCUCCAUCCCCAAAUAUGUAGUUAUUCAAACUCUAAAAUAUAUUCUGGCAACAGAGGUAAUUACAUAGAAAAUUCAAACUGUGUUUAUGGUCCCUGUACAGCUCUCAUUUUCAAAAGAGGAAAUAUCUGUAUGUGCUCCAUCUCAUGGAGACAAGAGUGCAGUCACAGAGUCCAUCCAUGAAGAUUGCUAGGGGUGUGCACAUGUCUGGCCAGCAGAUGCUACCCGGUCAAAAAGGGGUCAUUAUAUUUCAGACCCUUACAUCAUCUACACACUUUUCAAUGAGUAUAUUAAGGUUAUCACUGGCAGUUUUAUUGAUGGCAUAUACUCAGCACAGUUUGGGGGAUGUGCCCUGGAUAUGUGUGUAUGCUUACAUGUCAUUCAUGGAUGUGGUUAUAUGUAAGCAUAAAUGUGCAUAUAUUUGUAUAAAUCUAUCUGUGUGCAUGUACACAUGUAUGUGCAUGUAACAUAUACAUAUUCUAUGUACAGGCAUAUCAGAAUAGGGCACUACUGUCACUUAGUUUAGCCUGAUUUAUAUAUACCAUAAUGAUGAUAACCCAAAUGAGGAAAUGUUUUUUGUUGCUGUUAAAUAAACCUAAGAGAUGGUAUGAUGUAGUGGAUAGAAAGUCAACCUUGGAGUCAGAAAGACCUGGGUUUGAGUUCUCCUUCUGACAAGAGUCAAACUCUGUGCCUGUGGGCAAGACAGUUACCCUGUCUGUAUCUCAGGCAACCCCCAAAGACUAUAGAAGCUGCCAAAAAGUAUUGAUUCACAUUGAGAAGAGUUUCUUCUUAGGAAUUUCCUUUCCCAACAUAGUGACAAGUCAAGUUUUUUAAAAAAAAAUCAUAAAAGGAAAACUAAUGCUACACAUCCGUAUGAUAAAAAUAAUUAAAUCUAAACAUAUAGUUUUAAGUCAAAUCAGAUUUUUACCUAAAUCACAUUUUUACUGAUUUUCAAGAGGUAGAAAGGAGCCUUUAAAGAUCAUCUAUUCUAGUCCUGUUUGUGUCCUGGCCCCCUGUCAUUGGCAGCCAUCUGGGGAAGCCUUUGGACCUCUUCUCAG
Long non-coding RNA from Vombatus ursinus (common wombat), 1797 nucleotides. RefSeq lists it as uncharacterized. The record is from RefSeq and is a predicted model, not a curated record. The transcript is spliced from 3 exons. NCBI's taxonomy places the organism in Eukaryota, Metazoa, Chordata, Mammalia, Diprotodontia, Vombatidae.